AGGGCACCACCAGGAGUGGAGCCUGCGGCUUAAUUUGACUCAACACGGGAAAUCUCACCAGGCCCGGACACCGGAAGGAUUGACAGAUUGAGAGCUCUUUCUUGAUUCGGUGGGUGGUGGUGCAUGGCCGUUCUUAGUUGGUGGAGCGAUUUGUCUGGUUAAUUCCGAUAACGAACGAGACUCUGGCCUACUAAAUAGACGUUAGAUCCCUUUGUGGGUCUAUCGCAGCUUCUUAGAGGGACGGGCGGCGUUCAGCCGCACGAGAUUGAGCAAUAACAGGUCUGUGAUGCCCUUAGAUGUUCUGGGCUGCACGCGCGCUACACUGAAGGAAUCAGCGUGUGUUCCCUGCCCGAAAGGACUGGGAAACCCGUUGAACCUCCUUCGUGAUGGGGAUUGGGGAUUGCAAUUAUUCCCCAUGAACGAGGAAUUCCCAGUAGGCGCGAGUCAUAAGCUUGCGUCGAUUACGUCCCUGCCCUUUUGUACACACCGCCCGUCGCUACUACCGAUCGAGUGAUUUAG
Molecule: ribosomal RNA, 519 nt
Filed under: uncultured eukaryote
Lineage: Eukaryota
Description: SSU rRNA
Rfam family: Eukaryotic small subunit ribosomal RNA
Source: RNAcentral